GAUGAACGCUGGCGGCGUGCCUAAUACAUGCAAGUCGAGCGAACAGACGAGGAGCUUGCUCCUCUGACGUUAGCGGCGGACGGGUGAGUAACACGUGGAUAACCUACCUAUAAGACUGGGAUAACUUCGGGAAACCGGAGCUAAUACCGGAUAACAUGUUGAACCGCAUGGUUCAACAGUGAAAGACGGUCUUGCUGUCACUUAUAGAUGGAUCCGCGCCGCAUUAGCUAGUUGGUAAGGUAACGGCUUACCAAGGCAACGAUGCGUAGCCGACCUGAGAGGGUGAUCGGCCACACUGGAACUGAGACACGGUCCAGACUCCUACGGGAGGCAGUAGUAGGGAAUCUUCCGCAAUGGGCGAAAGCCUGACGGAGCAACGCCGCGUGAGUGAAGAAGGUCUUCGGAUCGUAAAACUCUGUUAUUAGGGAAGAACAAAUGUGUAAGUAACUAUGCACGUCUUGACGGUACCUAAUCAGAAAGCCACGGCUAACUACGUG
This 497-nucleotide ribosomal RNA is filed under the name uncultured bacterium. RNAcentral describes it as "partial 16S ribosomal RNA". It matches the Rfam family "Bacterial small subunit ribosomal RNA", at positions 28 to 507 of the family's 1533-position model. The record is from RNAcentral.